Molecule: transfer RNA, 72 nt
Filed under: Ailuropoda melanoleuca (giant panda)
Lineage: Eukaryota; Metazoa; Chordata; Mammalia; Carnivora; Ursidae
Rfam family: tRNA
About the family: Transfer RNA (tRNA) molecules are approximately 80 nucleotides in length. Their secondary structure includes four short double-helical elements and three loops (D, anti-codon, and T loops).
Source: Rfam by way of RNAcentral
ACCUGGCUGGCUCAGUCGGUAGAACAUGUGACUCCUGAUCUCGGGGUGUGAGUUCAAGCCCCAUGCUGGGCG